This 414-nucleotide ribosomal RNA is filed under the name uncultured bacterium. Its description in RNAcentral is "bacterial SSU rRNA". It matches the Rfam family "Bacterial small subunit ribosomal RNA", at positions 29 to 443 of the family's 1533-position model. The record is from RNAcentral.
AUUGAACGCUGGCGGCGUGCUUAACACAUGCAAGUCGUGCGGUAACAGGCGUAGCAAUACGUGCUGACGAGCGGCGAACGGGUGCGUAAUACAUGGGAAUCUGCCCUUUAGUGGGGAAUAACCCGGCGAAAGCCGGGCUAAUGCCGCAUAAGAUCUUCGGAUGAAAGCGGGGGAUCGUAAGACCUCGCGCUGAUGGAUGAGCCCAUGUCGGAUUAGCUAGUGGUGAGGUAACGGCUCACCAAGGCGACGAUCCGUAGCUGGUCUGAGAGGACGGCCAGCCACACUGGGACUGAGACACGGCCCAGACUCCUACGGGAGGCAGCAGUGGGGAAUAUUGGACAAUGGGGGAAACCCUGAUCCAGCGACGCCGCGUGUGUGAAGAAGGCCUGCGGGUUGUAAAGCACUUUCGGUGGG